Molecule: long non-coding RNA, 1353 nt
Filed under: Homo sapiens (human)
Lineage: Eukaryota; Metazoa; Chordata; Mammalia; Primates; Hominidae
Description: non-protein coding lnc-PAF1-3:1
Source: RNAcentral
AGACCUGUGGAGCUCAGAGCCUGGGCCCCUCCACUGCUCCUCUCCUAGGCCAAGGACCCUGGGGUCUGGGCUGACAUGCGAGCCGCUGGGGGACUCUGGGCUUGGCUGUGGCCCCUGGAAAUGAAGUCCCUUCCCUUAGCCCCAGAUAACCCAGGGGUGCUGGCCCCCUGCAUAGACACAGAGUCCCAGUUAGGAGCUGGGGAUAGAAGACAGCUAAAGGGGACUAAGAGAGAGAGGUCAGAGUGAGAGAAAUAGGACCAUGGGGAGAAACACAUUAACAGGAACAGAGAAACAAGGGAAAAAGAGACAGGAUGAGAGAGACACAACUGUAAUAGAGACACAGAGGAGUGGCACACAGAGACCACCUCCCAGCUGGAGACAGUCAGGAAGGACUGAGGGAGAGGGGACAGCCAGGGCUCCACACCCAGGCAAGAAUGGGGGAGGGCCUGUGGAACAGAGAAGUCAUCAACACACACAGUUCAAAGUCUACCCUAGGCUAGGAGGGGGAGCAGGAAGAAGGGGCAGGGACGCAGGGGCCCGGCCUGCGAGCUCCCUGUUGGCCUCUGCUGCCCCCUGCUGGCUCCCGCUGCGGUGCUCAGGCAGGAAGAGAGGAGGCUGCUGUGUUUAGGCCCAGGACGCUCUUCAUUCCCUUUGCACACCACCCACCAACCACUGCCUGCCCCACUCCCUGUCCCCCACUUCACAGAGUGCCCCCAGGGCCAGCAGGUGGUGCGGGUGUCUUGCCCGUGACCUUGUUGGCACAGUCCAGCAGGGCGGUGUGAAUGUCCUUGGCACAGGAAAUCUGGGCUUUGAUGACCGCCAGGUACUGUGGGUAGGGGAGGCUGUCAGGCUGCACUGCGUCGGGCUUGGUGGCUGUGGGCACCAACGUUGGAGAGUGCUUGGCACUGUCACAACUCUGUGACAGGCACUCAUGCGCCAGGCGCUGUGGACAGGCAGGCAAGGGGACAGCAUCAGCUCCACCCGAGGUCAUUCUACCCCACCCCAAGGGCCAGCUGGGGGUUGUCGGCUUGGCCUCUGGAUUUCCCAGGUCUUAGAGUCAGAGGUUGGCCCUGCCAGUCAUUUGCUGGGGAACCUGGGGGCAUGGCGGCUACUCUUCUCUGAGCCUCAGUUUCCUCCUUUGGAAAACGGGUUUAAUAACCACCUCUUCCUACCUCAUAAGGUGAGAACAGUGAGAGCAGGUGUAUGAGACACAGGCACGGGUCCUGGCACACUGUUUAAAGUGCCAAGAACUGUUAGCUACUAUCAUUGUUACUGCCCUGGCUCCAGGCCUGGUGUUGGCAGUGGCAUCUCACCCCUGGUUUUCUGCCUGCUUCUCUGGCUGCUCUAGGUACU